AUUGGACAAUGGACGAAAGUCUGAUCCAGCUAUGCCGCGUGCAGGAUGACGGCCCUACGGGUUGUAAACUGCUUUUAUACAGGAAGAAACACCCCGACGUGUCGGGGCUUGACGGUACUGUAAGAAUAAGGAUCGGCUAACUCCGUGCCAGCAGCCGCGGUAAUACGGAGGAUUCGAGCGUUAUCCGGAAUCAUUGGGUUUAAAGGGUCCGUAGGCGGUUUUUUAAGUCAGAGGUGAAAUCCUGCAGCUCAACUGUAGAAUUGCCUUUGAAACUGAAAGACUUGAGUUAUUGUGAAGUGGUUAGAAUGUGUGGUGUAGCGGUGAAAUGCAUAGAUAUCACACAGAAUACCAAUUGCGAAGGCAGAUCACUAACAAUAUACUGACGCUCAGGGACGAAAGCGUGGGUAGCGAACAGGAUUAGAUACCCUGGUAGUCCACGCCGUAAACGAUGGAUACUAGCUGUAUGUCUACCUCAGGUAGAUGUGUGGCCAAGCGAAAGUGAUAAGUAUCCCACCUGGGGAGUACGAUCGCAAGAUUGAAACUCAAAGGAAUUGACGGGGGCCCGCACAAGCGGUGGAGCAUGUGGUUUGAUUCGAUGAUACGCGAGGAACCUUACCAGGGCUUAAAUGUAAUGGGACAGAUUCAGAGAUGGAUUUUUCUUCGGACUCAUUACAAGGUGCUGCAUGGUUGUCGUCAGCUCGUGCCGCGAGGUGUCAGGUUAAGUCCUAUAACGAGCGCAACCCCCAUCGUUAGUUGCCAACGAGUAAUGUCGGGAACUCUAACGAAACUGCCGGUGCAAACCGUGAGGAAGGUGGGGAUGACGUCAAAUCAUCACGGCCCUUACGUCCUGGGCUACACACGUGCUACAAUGGUCGGUACAGAGAGCAGCCACUUCGCGAGAAGGAGCAAAUCUUCAAAACCGGUCUCAGUUCGGAUCGGAGUCUGCAACUCGACUCCGUGAAGCUGGAAUCGCUAGUAAUCGGAUAUCAGCCAUGAUCCGGUGAAUACGUUCCCGGGCCUUGUACACACCGCCCGUCAAGCCAUGGAAGCUGGGAGUGCCUGAAGUCGGUAACCGAAAGGAGCUGCCUAGGGUAAAACUAGUAACUGGGGCUAAGUCGUAACAAGGUAGCCGUACCGGAAGGUGCGGCUGGAACACCUCCUUUCU
Molecule: ribosomal RNA, 1165 nt
Filed under: uncultured Flavobacteriaceae bacterium
Lineage: Bacteria; Pseudomonadati; Bacteroidota; Flavobacteriia; Flavobacteriales; Flavobacteriaceae
Description: bacterial SSU rRNA
Rfam family: Bacterial small subunit ribosomal RNA
Source: RNAcentral